GAUUUCUGGUCUGGUGCGCCUGGCCCGCUGCAAUUAGCAUGUGGGUGCCGGGUCGCGCCUGCCAUCCUUCUAGAAAACGUAUCUACCCUUCACUGGGCCGGAUACGCUAUCUAGAUCUUUUACUUUGAAAAAAUUAGAGUGUUUCAAGCAGGCUUUAUGCUAUGAAUACAUUAGCAUGGAAUAAUAAUUUAGGACUUCGGUUCUAUUUUGUUGGUUUCUAGGACUGAAGUAAUGAUUGAUAGGGACAGUUGGGGGUGCUAGUAUUCAGCGGCCAGAGGUGAAAUUCUCGGAUUCGCUGAAGACUAACUUAUGCGAAAGCAUU
This 322-nucleotide ribosomal RNA is filed under the name uncultured Allapsidae. Its description in RNAcentral is "SSU rRNA". The stretch from base 105 to 322 matches the Rfam family "Eukaryotic small subunit ribosomal RNA", at positions 737 to 955 of the family's 1831-position model. Lineage: Eukaryota; Cercozoa; Glissomonadida; Viridiraptoridae. The record is from RNAcentral.